Molecule: unclassified non-coding RNA, 331 nt
Filed under: soil metagenome
Description: partial contains 5.8S ribosomal RNA, internal transcribed spacer 2, and large subunit ribosomal RNA
Rfam family: 5.8S ribosomal RNA (bases 1-119)
Source: RNAcentral
GAUGAAGAACGCAGCGAAAUGCGAUACGUAAUGUGAAUUGCAAAUUCAGUGAAUCAUCGAGUCUUUGAACGCACAUUGCGCCCCCUGGUAUUCCGGGGGGCAUGCCUGUCCGAGCGUCAUUUAAACCUUCAAGCUAAGCUUGGUGUUGGGUGACUGUCCGCUUCACGGCGGACUCGCCUCAAAAUUAUUGGCGGCCGGUACAUUGGCUUCGAGCGCAGCAGAAACGCGAACUCGGGCCCGUCGUAUUGGCUCCCAGAAGCUAUCUUCACAAUUUUGACCUCGGAUCAGGUAGGGAUACCCGCUGAACUUAAGCAUAUCAAUAAGCGGAGGA